This is a small nucleolar RNA of Echinops telfairi (small Madagascar hedgehog), 120 nucleotides long. Lineage: Eukaryota; Metazoa; Chordata; Mammalia; Afrosoricida; Tenrecidae. The record is from Ensembl.
ACCCUCCAGAUUCCUUGCCCCUCAGAUCAAAAUACUGGUCUGAGAGGAUAAAAAGGAGGGAAAGUAAAACUGAAGUGGACUUGGAGUCUCUAAUAACCUACAAGUUCAUUUCAAAAUAAU